This 2970-nucleotide long non-coding RNA is filed under the name Ooceraea biroi (clonal raider ant). RNAcentral describes it as "uncharacterized LOC109611083". Lineage: Eukaryota; Metazoa; Arthropoda; Insecta; Hymenoptera; Formicidae. The record is from RNAcentral.
UCGCCCGGCGGUGGUGGCGACAUCCGGUGGCGGGACGCGGUGGCGACGGAGGUUAGGCGGCGAGCGCGAAUACGAACGGCGGAGCCGGAGCGUAGGCACAGACACCGAGGUGAAGUCAGUCGCGUCACGCCACGCCCGGUGUAACGUUUGGCAACCGCUCCCGAAUAUUCGAGCUCCGUCAUCCGCGCGACGUUCGUCGCGGCCAAGAACGCGCACGGCAUCGGGAAUCGACUCCUGCGGGCGGAAGAGGUAUUUAAACGCGCGGGGCACCCCCUGGUCCCCUCGGUCUUACCUCGCGAGUCGUGUCGUGAGAAGGUACAUACGCGCGCGCGUGAGAGUCGCGAGGGACGAAGCGAGGAAGAGCCUGCCGGCUGGAGUUUGCGAGAGGAAAAAAGAAAGAGAGGAAGCAGCGCGAGUCUAGUUUUCGGACGUGCAUCCGAUUAAUCCGAGAGAGAGAGAGAGCCGUGAAAAGGAUUUUGCAAAGAGGACCUCGCUGCCUGAGGUCGAUCCGGAUCAGCCGGAGUCGUUCGCCGCUUCCUCGCAAAAUUGUUUCAGAGCUUUCAAUUGGUGGUAACGCCCCGUGUGCAAAUUUGGACAUCAUGAGAAGCGUACCUACCAGAAAAUUUGAUGAUGCUCAGCAUGGGACAUCUUCACUUCUCGAAGAUCACUCGCCAGCGUUCGCCGACCGUGAACCGAAACACGCUUGUCCCGGUCCGAAAAGUCGAGUCUCUUAGAUUUGUCCCAUUGCAAGAGAUCUAACGUUACGUCUGCGAAAUGUCAGUCGAGAUACAUGCACUGCAAUUCACCGUCCACUGUUGCUUCCGCGAUACAAGAUUGCGGAAGGUCCGAUUGUCGAGUCCUCGGGUAUCCCGGAAACGAGAUAAUCGAGGAAUAUUUGCCCGAUGAUCGCGAGAACUCGGCUCGGCGAGAAGCAGGAACGGCUUCCCAGUACGACCGCGCCGAGGUUUUCUCCCUUGGUAACAGCGCAAGGACGGAUCCUCCUCCCGUCAUGAUUGAUUCGUGCGCGAUACGAUAUGGCCUCCGAAAACGUCCUAUUGACAGUGUUAAUAAAGGACAAGAGACCUAUAUUUGCUCGUAUCAAUGGCACGUAAUUCUUUAUUCGUCGAUUACGUAAUCUAUACACGCGAAAUUAAUGGUACAUUUUAACAUUUAAUGGUAUUUCACUAGUCUCUCUUUUCGCUCGAAUAAAAUGAAAUUACGAAGGCGAUAGUAUACAGGAAAUGUAUGUAAGGAGAUAAGUUGAUGCUGGCGAAUCGCCGUUUCGGCAUGGUCUUGCAAAAUGUCACGCAAAUCCGCAAAGUUGCACAAUCGGCGUUUACGGAUAUCCUUCCCCCGCAUUCGCAAAUCAUCGGACACGCGAUAACGUGCUGAAACGAUCUUCGAUCUACUGCGAGGUGCGAUGCAAACCUUUAAGACGGACGGUCAGCCCCCAUGAGCAUUGGUUCAACGAUCGUUCCGCGAGCGAACCUGAAUACUUGCGCGCGUGCCACCUACAUAAUUCAUAUCGGUAUAAAGCAGCCGUUUUGACGAUGAGGGGAAAAAGGAAGGAAGGAAGAAACAGAGGAAAUACGGACAAUGUCCCUGACAGCAAUCAGUAAAGCGAAUUCUAGAUUGAUAGAGAAAUCCGUAAAUAACAAGAAUUAGGAGGAACUCGUAAUAUUUUGUUUUGUCUAUCAAUAUAAUAGCAAUGACAAUGAGAUAAGUCCCUGUUGACAUCGAACAUAUCUUGAAAUUAUUUCUUACAUUGUACGCGAAAUCUCUCCUGGCGAUUAUAACUCAGCUGAAUCGAAGAAUUCACGUCUCAGCGAUGGACGAUUCGAUUGCGCGAGUCGAAAGCUCGAUAUCGUGAAGGAACAGUUGAUCACAACGUGCUGCGAACGGUAUUCCCUUUUUUUCUCGCGGUUGCGCGAGACCGAUGUGUGCAACCUGAUAUUUCCGUGUAAUUUAUAUCGCCGUCGACUGCAAAGGGAGGAGGCCCCGUAAGUAAUGUAAAAGGGUGGUCUGUUUUCAGCAUCUAGGUAACUUGAAACGGAAUGUACUUGAGAAUAUGUGUACAAGACAAGUAUGCAAAUAUUUCUAAUUAGAUAAGAGGUAUCAUUAAACACAGAGAUCUAUAAAUUAUUGUACUGACGUGUGUCGUGUGUACAAAAUUAUUGCGUAUAUUGCACACGUACAUGUCGAGAAAUCCCAUUGAAAAAUGAGAGACUUGUGAAGCUACGUUAAUUUUUUAUUAUUUUUAUUAUUUUAUUGCUUUUCUGAAACUGUUGGCAGGCGAUUUCGAUUCUUGGACUGACAUUUUGGAACUGAUUAAUUCAAGUGGCGUGCGGUAUUAUCGAUUAUUCAAUGGAGGAAUGGCAUCGUUAAUGGUGCCAUCGCGCGAUACUCACUUAGGUCUCGUUAGCGAGUUCGCACAACUGAAUUAUAAUUGCCGAGGAAAAUUUCGUAUUGCGAAUGCAUGUAAGAAGUUGUUUUAAAAUUCACUCGGCAUCGAUGGAUUUUUCGAUCUUGCAUUGUUGAAGCUAUAUAUCGAUGGACAUAAAUAUAUCGCAAGAAAAUAUUACAGGUUUGGCAUUUCCUGUUAUUUAUGAAUUCUUCGAUCAAUUUGGAGCUAACUUCAUCGAAAAAUAUAGUAUAAAGGUUUCUCCUUUUAGAUAGGAAAGUACCGUUUCAUUUGCGUAAUGUCCGCAAUCUAUAGCUAUUGUAAUAGGUCUGCUUAUAGGGUCGUAGUUAUUCUUUAUCAUAUGAGAUUAUCGCAACUUAUUACGUGCGCAAGUCCGGCUCAUUGUAGAGCCGCAAAGUGACUAUCGCACUAUCUUGACAAGAGCUGUUCAUUCAUGAUUCUUAUCCAUAGUUUCGUUAUCAAUGUACAUAGAUGGGCACCAUAAGCAACCUUAGAGGGCUGCCGCCGUCGUCGCUGCAUUGAAUAGCCGCAGGAAAUAGAGAGAGAAA